GACGAACGCUGGCGGCGUGCUUAGCACAUGCAAGUCGAACGGAAAGGCCUCUUUCGGGGGGUACUCGAGUGGCGAACGGGUGAGUAACACGUGAGUAACCUGCCCUUGACUUUGGGAUAACUUCAGGAAACUGGGGCUAAUACCGGAUAGGAGCUCCUGCUGCAUGGUGGGGGUUGGAAAGUUUCGGCGGUUGGGGAUGGACUCGCGGCUUAUCAGCUUGUUGGUGGGGUAGUGGCUUACCAAGGCUUUGACGGGUAGCCGGCCUGAGAGGGUGACCGGCCACAUUGGGACUGAGAUACGGCCCAGACUCCUACGGGAGGCAGCAGUGGGGAAUAUUGCACAAUGGGUGGAAGCCUGAUGCAGCAACGCCGUGGGCGGGAGGACGGCCUUCGGGUUGGAAACCGCUUUCGCUCAUGACGAAGCUUUGUGUGACGGUAGUGGGUAAAGAAGCACCGGCUAACUACGUG
Molecule: ribosomal RNA, 467 nt
Filed under: uncultured bacterium
Lineage: Bacteria
Description: partial 16S ribosomal RNA
Rfam family: Bacterial small subunit ribosomal RNA
Source: RNAcentral